GAUGUAUCGCACUUGUAAACGUGGUGUUGGGAUCAUUUUACCGGCUAUAGUUGAAAAGCGAACGUUAAUUUAAUUUCUUAAAAGUUUAUUGGAGAAAGGUUCACUUUGUGUAACAGACUUUCUUGUGGAUACCACAGGUUUUGUUGACAGUUCUACCCAGACAAGUGAAGUCAUCUACAACCUGUAACAGAAUGAUAACAGAUGUUCAACUAGCCAUAUUCUCCAAUAUCCUUGGAGUUUGUCUGUUUCUGUUGGUGGUGUUGUAUCACUAUGUUGCUGUCAAUAAUCCAAAGCAUGGAAUUUGAAAGGUAUCUUGUACCAGACAUGCUUGAAGAUGAAGAAUAUGCCACUAACUCAAAGUGAUGACAGUUUUAAUACCAAACACUAUCGUUCUAGGUGUGAUUAUACCAGUUGUAAAUAAGAUUGUUAAUUAAAACAUUGUCAGUACCA
Molecule: long non-coding RNA, 450 nt
Organism: Limulus polyphemus (Atlantic horseshoe crab)
Lineage: Eukaryota; Metazoa; Arthropoda; Merostomata; Xiphosura; Limulidae
Exons: 4
Source: RefSeq, a predicted model, not a curated record